Solanum lycopersicum (tomato) is the source of this 412-nucleotide non-coding RNA. NCBI's taxonomy places the organism in Eukaryota, Viridiplantae, Streptophyta, Magnoliopsida, Solanales, Solanaceae. The record is from RefSeq and is a predicted model, not a curated record.
ACCAUGAUACCUUUAUUUCUGACGAGCACAGGGUUUUAUGGCAAAAGGCUUGAUUUGUAUGCGAAUAAUCUCCCUGAUUAUCAACAGAAGUCUCACUCUGAACCUCUAAGCAUCAAGAAUGUUACACAUGUUCCUCAACAAGAAGAAAGUUCAAAUGAUUGUGGUUUAUACACAUCUCUAUUUGCCGAAUACAUGAGCAAUGGUGUUUUUGAUAUGUCACAUAUUGAUAUUGAUUCAACAUAUCAUCAUCAAAGAUGUGCUACAUUACUUUGACAUUAUGGAAAAUCAAAGAAUGAUGAAGGCACAAUCAGUGAAAGUGAAGUUACAGGAACUAGCAAGAAGGGUGGACCUCGAACUCAUAAAGAACAAGUUAUGGACACCACCAAUUAUCCUACUCCAAAAUUUCGUAUCA